Molecule: long non-coding RNA, 614 nt
Filed under: Phaseolus vulgaris (common bean)
Lineage: Eukaryota; Viridiplantae; Streptophyta; Magnoliopsida; Fabales; Fabaceae
Description: long non-coding RNA (PVUL_LNC000470)
Source: RNAcentral
GAGGAGGUGGAGGUGGCCUAGGAGAGGGAGGCUUGGAGGGCUUGGUGGAAGGUGGAAAUUGUUGGAGGUGGUUUUUCCACUGUACCUCAGAACGAAGAACAGGAACAAGAACAUGAACAGGAACAGGAACAACACUGUCUCAAUCAUGGUGUGUUCACUGCAUCAACACUUCUGAUGUUAUCUUAUUUAUUCAGACCAAGAAGUGGAUUACGCAUAUUUCACAACGCAUGCGUCACACGCAUAAUAAUAUAUUAAGAAAAAUGAUUUUUUACACCCAUUUUUUCCUUUGCUCCAAAACAACUUUUUAAGUGUUGAUUACUUAUGUGAUAGGAGUAUUUUAAGCAUGAGACGAAUCUAAUUUGUCAAAUUAUCACAACUCAUAUAUUAAUAAUUUAAGAUUUAGUGACACCUUCACAAAGGUAAAAUUAAUUAAUUAAUUUAUUUAUUUGUGAGCUCUACUUGAGUUGGUGAAUUUUGUUUUGAAAAGGUUGCUUAAAUUUAGGUUUUGAGGAGGACAUUCAAGAAUUGCACCAAGGAUUUGUUUGCAAAUGGGGGCUUGAUGAGCAAAACAUGAAUCUAGAUGCUGUUUUGCAGGAUUUGAAGUUGAGAUGAUG